This 286-nucleotide ribosomal RNA is filed under the name uncultured bacterium. Its description in RNAcentral is "partial 16S ribosomal RNA". It matches the Rfam family "Bacterial small subunit ribosomal RNA", at positions 28 to 297 of the family's 1533-position model. The record is from RNAcentral.
GACGAACGCUGGCGGCGUGCCUAAUACAUGCAAGUUGAACGCAACAAAGACACCAGAGCUUGCUCUACCGUCUUUGUUGAGUAGCGAACGGGUGAGUAACGCGUGGGUAACCUGCCUUAUAGCGGGGGAUAACUAUUGGAAACGAUAGCUAAUACCGCAUAACAAUAGAGAUUGCAUAAUCUUUAUUGAAAGUGCCAACUGGUACACUAUGAGAUGGACCCGCGUUGUAUUAGCUAGUCGGUAGUGUAAUGGACUACCAAGGCGAUGAUACAUAGCCGACCUGAGA